ACAGGUGCUGCAUGGCUGUCGUCAGCUCGUGCCGUGAGGUGUUGGGUUAAGUCCCGCAACGAGCGCAACCCUCGCGCUAUGUUGAUUUCUCAUAGCAGACUGCCUUGUACAGCAGAAGGAAGGUGGGGAUGACGUCAAGUCAGCAUGGCCUUUAUGCCCUGGGCUACACACACGCUACAAUGGGUGGGCACAGAGGGUUGCCACGGAGCAAUCCGGAGCGAAUCCCUUAAAACCAUCCUCAGUUCGGAUUGUAGGCUGCAAUCGCCUGCAUGAAGCCGGAGCUGCUAGUAACCGCAGGUCAGCUAUACUGCGGUGAAUACGUUCUCGGGCCUU
This 333-nucleotide ribosomal RNA is filed under the name uncultured Chloroflexota bacterium. RNAcentral's name for it is "bacterial SSU rRNA". It matches the Rfam family "Bacterial small subunit ribosomal RNA", at positions 1034 to 1382 of the family's 1533-position model. The record is from RNAcentral. Lineage: Bacteria; Bacillati; Chloroflexota.